GUGUGUAGUAGCGGAAUGAAAAAAAAAUUGGAUCCAUCAGGUUCGACACUAUUAAUUGCUACCAGCUUACAUUUUACAUCUUCACAUCUGUAUUCGGACGCUGAACGAGUAAUUUUCUUUAUAUCACCUUCAAACGCAUGCAAUAUUUGGGAGGAAAAUGGACUAUCAAAUGCAUCAUAACAAUCAAGUAAUUUGAAACCCUGAAUAACAAUUGAUCCGUGUUCUUUAGUAGCAGAAUGGUACUUCACAAUACAAUUAUCAGUUGUCAAAAACCAAGAAUCAUGAAAAUAAUUUCUCAGUAGACAACCACUUCGUAAAUGUAACUGCAUGCUACGAUUUUUUUGAAUUUUAAGGAAAGGAAAUUGUACUCUAGUCAUAUUGAUAGGCUUACAAUUCAUUAAUUCAAUUUUUCUAUUAGCUAUCUGUUGCAAAUUUUUGUAUCCUGAUCUGAGCAUAUUUUUCAUGGAGUGUAAGUCGUUUUCAAAUUUAAAAGUUGAAAGGGUAGGCAAUUUUCCAAAUUUAUCUACGUCCUUGUAAAUAUGUUGUAAAUUCUGUAGAAAUUAGAAAUUCGAAUUUGUAUAUACCUCACACAUACACCUUGACAUCCUUACACAUACACCUUUUCUAUAUGUACAUCUUGUUUGUGCGAUCACACCUAGGUUUAAGUAUCUCAGGCAAUACUGUCAAAUAGAGAUGUCAUUCGUGAUUGAGCGCUAAAACAGAAAA
Anopheles gambiae (African malaria mosquito) is the source of this 726-nucleotide long non-coding RNA. RefSeq lists it as uncharacterized. The transcript is spliced from 2 exons. NCBI's taxonomy places the organism in Eukaryota, Metazoa, Arthropoda, Insecta, Diptera, Culicidae. The record is from RefSeq and is a predicted model, not a curated record.